Non-coding RNA from Lolium perenne, 7582 nucleotides. Lineage: Eukaryota; Viridiplantae; Streptophyta; Magnoliopsida; Poales; Poaceae. The record is from RefSeq and is a predicted model, not a curated record.
UCCGGGGCGCUCCCAAUCCCCUCGCACGUUGUCCUCCCCAAUCCCCUCGUCUCUCUCCUCUCUCCCACCCGCUCCGCCGCCAUCCACCCCUGGUCGAGCUCGCAGCGCCGCGACGCCGGGAGGAAGCCCAGGACGCCGCUGGAGGAAGCCAAGGCCGCCGCUCGCAACAUCCCCUCGCGCCAUCACGAUGAGAGGAAGCGCAGCCCGACGGGGGUGGCCGUGGCUAGCACCAACGGCGAGGCGCCAUACACCCGCGGAGGCAUCCCCAUCCGGCCACGAUGGGAUGGCCGCUUACAAGCUAGAGUCGGCGGUCAGACGCGGGGACGGCGGCUGCAGUGGCCGGUCAGCGCGGGGACGACGGACCUCAGCGACCGUCGGCCGCAUCCCUUGCUACCGCCGCCGGAGGGAUGGAGAUGAAGGCGACCUGCCGAGGUACGCCGCCGAUUCGUGUCCAUAUCUCGAUGGGUUGUGCUGGACCGCUGGCCUCCUCUGCCUCUUUGGCGUCACCGAUGACGCAGGGGCCUGCCCUCCUCUGCCUCUUCUUUGAAGGGGACCUGCAGCCACCGGAGGGCAUCACGGAUCUGUGAAGAAAGAUUUGGUGCAGGUCAGCAUCGGAUUGUUUGGUUGGAAUUUUCAGGGGCUGUUUUGAGCUAUGAGAUGUGAUUACUUCAACCCUUUGCACUCUUGUUUUAUUGUACUUCAAUACCUGGAAUAACUAAAUUAUUGUUGCUGCCUCUUGCCUAAUGUUAUGCGCCUGAGGUUCCGGGGCUGGAUCUCAACUGCUAGGCCUCAAAUGUAAAUAUAUUUGUGCUUCUCUAUAUUACUAAUCAAUGAAACCAGUAGAGGAUUCGAUUUAUGGUUGGUGCGUACUUGAGAGUAUUUGCUUCUUCGCGAUCGAUAAAGCACGAGUCUGAGACGACGAAGAUCAACAACAGUGAUGAUCAAUUUCUGUCCUCCGACGAACAAGUCAAGUACAAGAUUAUCGAAGAUCCAUAUUGGUUUAUCAGGGACAAAGGCAAGCCCUAGCCUGGUUCAUCUAAGUUUUACAAAUGCUUUCAUUCUGGUUAAUUCAUAUUGCAUGCGAUUCAACUGUCUUUUAUCGAUAGGUAGAGUUAUCCUAUCUAUUGCAUGUUUCACUGUUGUAGCCUCAAAUACCCUGAUCCACUGCUCCUAGCAUAACUAGGCUUGGCAUGUGUGCGUCGCUAGAGCCUUAUAUCUUUAUGCUUAGCCAUGCUUAGUUUGUUACGCUACUACUCCGGUCUUCGGACUGGAGCCAUACAAUGAAAUGAAUCUAGCAUGACAGGUUGACGUGGUAAGUACAGAGAUGACGAUGAUAAACAUGAUUAAAGGCUCAGACGAGAGGCCACAUUGGGAUGUGGUGGGUUGUUUCGUUUCUGCCGACCCUAGGAACUGAGUUCUCGCCUCUUGAACCAAGACUGAGCGUACAACCACACGAGGCCCUAUUAUGGUACCCUCUCGACUCACUAACUUGCCUAGUAGAUUCCAUGAGUCACAUAGUUUGCGCUUUACCUGGACAUAUGCAUUGCAUUUUGCUUGGGGGAUAAGGUACAUAACAGGUAGGUAAGCGUGGCCGUGGUGGCUGGGGGUUGCGGCCCCUGGGGAAACCCACCUCACCUCACAUCGUUAAGGACCGACUUCGGGACUUGACCCGUUACGGCGGAGCAAUCCUUAGCGCGUGACUCAUGGUCUCGGCGACAGCAAGGUAAAGGUCGUGGUCAACCACUCUCUGCCGGCUUUCCAAGGAAGAGAGCUAAUGUCUGGCACUAAGAAUCGGUUGGCACGUGUGGGUAAAGUUGUGCACCCCUGCAGGGUUAAAUCUUUUCGAAAAGCCGUGUCCACGGUUACGCACGACUUGGGAAUGGAUUCUGUGAUCAUAGACAACUUGAACCUGAUCGUAAAACUUGGCAACCAAUGUGUGUUUACGGAUACCUUCUUCGGGUGUUGAGGGGGUGAUCCGAGGAUAGUGGUUCGAGAUGAUGAAGAUUGGUGGAUACAAUAUGAUGAUCAAUAGAGAUAGAGAUGUCGCUCUCUUAUCCCCUUUCAAAGGUUCUGUGUAGUCGAGCUUCUCUUCUCUCUUAUCUUACAAAGGAAAACUGGCUUUACGCAAAAGAAGAUCUACCAGAAAGCCCGCAUACCCGCUUUGCUAAAAGGUUGUACUAAGUCUUGCUGAGUCCCUGUACUCAGCUUUGCAUGCUUUUGUUUCAGACGAAGUCGCUCCAACAGAUGGUGGUUUCUAGUCGACAUCGACGAGUAGCUUGGGGUUCCCAGGUGGCAGCCUGGAAUCUAUGGGCUGGGACGUCGCCGUUAUGCUCCUGGCCUCUUAGGCCUUUUGCUAUCUUGCUAUGUCUAAUAGCAUAACUUCGCUUCCGUUGAUUGAUGUAUGUCAGGUCAGUGACCUCUGCUUGUAAUACUUUGGUUCUUCACUCAGUUAUGAGCUUGUAUUACUUUUUGAGUCGUAGAGUCACUGUUGUGUUACCGAUUCUCUCACUGUAGUCUCUCGAGCUCUAGGUUAGGCUUAUGUCAGACGAAGAUCUGGUAUUUGUCUAACCCUGAUCCCGGGGGUGCCACAAUUUUCUACUGAUCAGGGAUUUUAGGCUGUCAUGUAUGUGUGACUGUAUUAGGCUUUAAGCUGCAGUCUGGUGAGCUUUUGUGCCUUUUCUUUUGUCUCAAUUUAGUAACAACUGACUACAUCAAUAAGUCAUCCACUUGAUCAUUGUGUUGAUUACAAUAUCAUUAUUAUUUGUUUGCACUUCUUACUGCUAUUGGCUGUCGUUAUUUUUGUAGUCGUCGAAGGUUGUUUCUAUUUUUUCUGCUUUUGUGUUAUGACCUUGACUUAUUCUGGAAACUUCUGAUUUGCAUUUGAUAUUUUGAGACAACUUUUUUCUAAAAUUAUGAUGUUCUGGAUUUCAAGAAGAAAAACAAAUGGUGCUUGCCUUUUCCUAGCAAAGCUUGGUUGGAUUUUUGUUCUCUGCUUGUCAACAUAAUAUAUUGGUCCAGUCUUCUAAUAAUCGGUUAAUAGCCUCCUCAAUCGACUAUGUAAAUCAGUGCUUUAAGGUUGUGAAUUAUGUGUUACUGCAUUUUUUCAGAAAGGGACACAUGAACAGGUCAGAGGCUCUGAAUUUUGAUUUUAGCAUGUUUUCUGCAGUAUGUACAAAUCACGUCCUUUAAAAUCCAAGCACAUGGGAGUAUUGAUCUCUGUAAUUGGGGUCUUCUUUUGGAAUUUAUCCAGUAAAUGAUAGCAUGGUGUCUGGUUGAUUCCAGGGCUCUUUGCAUACGCAGUCAGCUAGCCCCUAAAAAAGUUUUUGCAGUCUCAGAUCCUAAUAAUUCCUAUGCUUUGGUCCUUCAUUGCAACAUUGCUCUUGCACAUUCUUUUUUGUUGGUUAUUGGUUUUCAAGAUCAGUCUGGGGUAUUUUGGAGCCGCUUUGGCAAUAAGCGUAUAGUACUGGUUGAACGCCUUCAGUGGAGUCGCUGUGUUCAUGCGCCUAGCUCUGCCAUCUGCUCUAAUGAUAUGUUUUGAAUGGUGGUCAUUUGAGGCCAUUAUUCUUUGCCGGGACUUCUACCCAAUCCAGAGCUGCAAACUUCAGUUCUUUCGACCUGCAUGACAACUAUCACACUGAUGUAUACUAUAGCAUAUGGGAAUGGUGCUGGUGCAAGGUAAGCAGAAGCUUGAUAUACGUGGAUAUGAUACAGUUUUUUCGGAUGAAAUUAUUAUUUGAUAACACCAUUUUGUAUUUUCUUUAAUGGGAAGCACUGGAGUAUCAAACUAACUAGGGGCCGGGAAUCCUUAAGGUGAUCGAUUGUAUGUCCGUGUUGUGAUGUUUAUUGUUGUGACUUAGGCAGUUCUCAUCACUAGGGCUCUAUUAGCAUCCAAGCGCAUCUUGUGCUAUGCAUAUAGCAGAAAAAGGAGGUAGUUGAGUAUGUUUAUGGAAUGUUUCCCUUAAUCUGCAUCUCAUUCGCUGCUGAUUGCCUACAAGGAGUUCUCUCAGGUUAAAAAUUUCUACCUUCUAAUUUAUCUAUCAAUUUUACCUUCCCUUCGAAAGAUUUUGGGAAGGUAAAAUUGAUAGAGGUAAAAUGGAUUGUGCUGCUGGGACUAUGCCACACAUAAACGAUACACUUGCUAGCACUGGGAUGCGAUUUCUACUUCUGAAUAAUUUUGUCUGGUCGAUUAGCCUUUAGGUUAUCUUUGAUGAAAUUCAUCACUAUGAUUUUCCAAGCUAAUACUAACAUAGAUUGCAUGCUGCACUUAGGAUUUGACUUCCUACAUCUUCAUUUUCCAUGGAUUACAUAAAGCGGCAUUUUUUGAAUGCAUCGUCAAGGCAAAUUUCUGAGAUAUAUGCGUAAUAUAUUUGUUGGGCUAACCUAUUAAAUAGAGAAUCUAUAAUCCUAAAAAGGGUGUAACAUAUUUGUUGAGUCAACAUAUAUAUUGUGUGUUUUUAUCAGCUUAUUAUCGAGUAUAUUACAAAACGAUCAUUAGUGCGAAAUACCGGGGCUGCGCACAUCCAGCAUGUAUCCAUCCUAUAUCUGCUUUCCACGUCAUUUCUUCUGCAACAGUCAAGAUAGGUACAUUCUAACUGUUUACUACUAUCUGGUAUUAUACGACUUGUACUGCAAAGUAUUUUAGAUUAGUCUUCUACCUGAAGAAAAAUGAAAUCUGCCAUGAAAAUUUGUAUGACUAAUUUGUUUAUAGCAGCAAGGCAACAACCCGUUGGCUACCAUUAGUUUUAGAGAAUUCAAAUUCUAGGAGAUGAGGCUGAGAUACUACCUCUGGCCCUUUAAAUUGGUUGUCGCAUGUGAAAAGCUUGACAUAUUUUUUAACUGCCCCAUGUUAUUAUUGUGUGGUAGGUAGCUGCAUAUUGUUUUGCACAUAUGCAGAACCCCAAAUUAACUGAUUUCCCUAUAGCUUCAAAAUGUUAAUAGGUGAACAAAUAUAUAUAUAAUUCAAAUACCUACAACCAGCUUCUAUUUUGUGCUCCUUCAAAAUGAAAUGCCAAAAUAAGAGGGUUUCUUCCAAUUUUGACUGAUUGAUCCAUACAUCGUUUUACUUGUCAUGAGCUUGCAAGAGUAACAAUUAAUAUUGAAGCUUCUACAUAUUCCUUAAACUGCAAAUACUCGUGCAUUUUGAGCGCAAGAAGAUUUAACCAUAUUUUAACAUUUUUAUUCAUGUUUCGAGGUUCUGUGCUAAUAAGGAUGAGGUAACAUCGGACAUGUAUUUUAGUUAUCAAGGAGAAAGAUGGAAAUUGUUGUGUGUUUAGUUUUCAAGGAGAAAAGUGAGGCAUGAAUUUUAGUUUUUUAAACGGAAGCACAAUAUUUCUCUUUUGAUAUUUCUCUCUUAUUUUUGCAUGUGCUGCUGCAUGCUUAUGUCUCUUCUAGUUUGGAUGGUCAAAUAUGAGUGCUAGGAAUUAUUUAGCCAGAUCUAGAUUUUAGCGUGCUCCAUCGUUCUGAAUUAUUUACUGUCAUGCACAUGCGUUGACAGAAGAGCAAAUGAUUUUGUACAUGAAAAAGAAUUAAAUCCUACUCACAAAAAUGAUGCAGGAAAACAAUACCAGCGGAGGAGAUCCUAACAGUUGGGAAGCACUGUGGAAGAAGGGCAUGAAAAUGAAGGCAAUGAGCUGCUGGAUACAAUCGCGCCAGACCUGGUUUUCAUCAUCAAUGAUAAGUCUCACCUGGUGUUCACCCGGUAUGGAAACAACUUGGUGGCUAGGAUAAUAUACCCCUCACGAUGUCCUGACAGGCACCUGGUGAUGCUGGCCAGAUGUAGCAUGACUGGGUCUAUCUGCUCCAUGAUCCACCCAUGGUUGGGGAGGAAUUACAGCUAGGCCAUAGAAGACAAAAACUUGAGCAAAAAACUGUGUUUUCUGAUCAACAUGUGUGGGUAAAUUAUUGUCACGUGACCAACUUGGAUGUUAAUUAUUCUUAUUUUUUGCAUACGGUAAGUCUAUUUUCUCUUGCUAUGUGCUAUUGUUCAAUUAUGCCGAUAUGCGCGCGCGUGUAGUCACCAUUAUUGUGGGAAAUUUUUCAGUUCCUUUAUUCAGAGCCAUUGCUUCAUGUGGUUUACGAAUUCUUUGAAACAAUGUAGCAUUCUUCCUUUUCCUUCUGUGUACUUUUAUUAUCAUUUGCUUGAGCUACGAUUUUGGAUGAUCGGUGAUAUUAAGUAAUUGUCUCAUCACGAGUCAGUUUACGGUUUGAUCUUAUUAGAAACUUCUUGCAUUCACUUGCCAUGUAUUUUGUGGGCGACGGCACAUGAGGAGAUUGGUUGGGUGGCGUGAAUGGAGAUACAGGUUAUGGAUUAUUUUAGUUAGUGUUAGAAAUUAUUUAUCCAGCUCUACAUUUUUGUGUGCUCCUUCACUAUGAAUUAUUUACUAUCAUGCACAAGUGUUGACAGAAGAAGAUCAAAUUAUUUUGCACAAGGAACAAAAUACACAAUCACAACUACUCUCAAUUUCACUAUCGAUCUACUCUAUGAUGUGCUGCCAGAUGGCUCGAUUCUGCCUCACGUGUCACGGAAGGCUUCGUUGCUCCUCGCCGAAAGGUUGUCAGGUCAGCUUCUAUUUCCCUGUAGAUUGUUGGCCGUAUUGGUACCAGGUAGAGAUUUAUACCUUGAGCUUUUUCUCAGGCUUAGGUUCUGCUUAGGCACAACGUAAAUAUACUGUACAUAUCGAUAGGCUAUUGAGGAAAUGUACCUAAGCUGAAUUAGUUCUGUAGGGACUUCACUCUAUUGAUUGGCUACCCCAAAAAAAUUUACAGUACCCCUGUUGAGUAUCAUUUUCAAUAGAUUGUUGUCGAGGCUCAGUGUGUGCCCUCGAGCACAUGUAGCAAGAAUAGCUAGGGUGCUUUUUGUCCUUCGAGCAUAGUUAGUAUACGUCAUCCUCAAGUAAGACCUCGGGUGCUUUCCUUCUGACUGUUGGAUGGCAUCACCUAUUUAUUUAUUGAUAUCAUUUUGAGAACAUAUACUUAUCGAUUUCUUGGUCUCUGUACGACACAAAAUCUAUGUCCUUUAUCAAACUCAUACAAAACUAAUUAUAUAUUUUCUAAUAAUAGAUCAGCUAAUCCGUAUCUAAAACUACCUACAUUUUUUAUUUAUUCACCUAUCGAGGCAACUCUUGAGGAUUGGGUUUCUUCUUAUGCUAUAUCCAAGUGCAAAUAAUACUCCUGCUUUACAAAUACUUUCAUCUGAUUACAACAUACAUUAGUAUAACAUUCCCUUUGUUCUUCAACAUUUUUUUAUUCUGUGGUGUUCUUAAUGUUGCUCUAAUUACAACAUUUAUUUGCUUUGUUGCGGCCUAAUGGAGGCUGCAGAGCUCGAGACUGUCAGGAUCCGGCCUGGUGUCAUGCUGGAAGCUAUGUUGCAGAAGCUACACCUUUUGGCGGUGCAACUACCUAUUAGAAUUUGGUUUUCUUGUUUUUGUGGGUAGUGGGCUUCAAAGACUGAAUUGCGGCGAGCUUAUUUAGAUGUUACUUUUGUUAUUUUUAGCUUUACUUCUAUUUGUCUCCAAAAAACUAUAAGUGUUAAUAUAUUUCGCUAUUUCCCUCAUUGUGUAUAUGCAUUGUUGUUCCAUUCUAA